CUGAAGGGUGGCAGGACAGAAACCUCCAUCUACAGUCACCAUCUACGCAGGCCUCUCCUUCCCACUCUUCACGACAGGCAUCGUGUCCUCGCCUGAACGUGAAGCAAGUGCCCACUCAGAGAUGUUCUGUGACCUGCCAGGCUCCCCGAGAGCUGGUGCCCCUACACACGGCGUACCGACACGUGUGAGAGCAAACACGCAUCGCACGCAAACACACAUCUUUUAAGAGGACACAGCUCCUAGCAGACGCCACGCCGGAGGCCUCGACGAGGCUGUGAGCCCCGCACUGCAGGAGACGACGAUGCAAGGGUUCCCAUCGCUCCUCACCCCUGCUCAAGGUCACAGUCACAACCCUCCACCCUGCGGUGCUAGGGGCGGAGCCCGGCUGCUGUGGGACUGCGCGUGCCAAGAAGGUAGCUUUCUCCUUCUCUACACGUCCCCAAGCUGGUUGAUGGCGUCCCUGGUGUGGACUGUCGUCCCUGGUGUGGACUGUCCCCGUGGGAUGGCGUCCCUGGAGUGGACUGUCCUCCAUGGGAUGGCGUCCCUGGAGUAGACGGUCCCCGUGGGACACUCCCCAGCUACCCUGGCCGUCUUCCUGUGCCUUUCCGCACCACCCUUCUGCCCGGCACAGGGGCUGGUUCCUUCUGAGAGGUGCGUGCACACACUCCAGAUGGAGUGCAGAGCUGUGCAUCAGGGAACCGAUGACGGCGGUGACACCCGGGUCCCAACCCCCGGAGGAGAGAAGGCCUCCCCACCAGCGCCUGGCACCUACCUGACACUCCGCAUCGCAGUAGAACGCCUGCUUGCAUCGCCCGCAUUUCGACAGUCCUUCUUUCCUUAAAAACACAAAAGGGAAUCGAAGCGGUGAGACGCAGACCCAUUUGGUCAGACGGUAACAGACGCCAUCUAGACUCUCAGGCAAGGCUCACCUUCCCUGACCCCCCACAGACGCAUCUUUCCCAAGGCCCCUGAAGAACAGUCACCAACGCUCACCAUGGCUGUCAAAGACACCAAAGGCACACACUCUGGCGCAGCAACCACAGUCCAAGCCCUGACCCCAAAAUUGUAUUCAGCAGUCCGCAAAUGUCAAACUCCCGUCUGCCCUCGUUUCCUGGUGUUUACUCAGAAUCUUCAGAAAUCAACGAA
Mesocricetus auratus (golden hamster) is the source of this 1146-nucleotide long non-coding RNA. RefSeq lists it as uncharacterized. Lineage: Eukaryota; Metazoa; Chordata; Mammalia; Rodentia; Cricetidae. The record is from RefSeq and is a predicted model, not a curated record. The transcript is spliced from 3 exons.